This 484-nucleotide ribosomal RNA is filed under the name uncultured bacterium. RNAcentral's name for it is "partial 16S ribosomal RNA". It matches the Rfam family "Bacterial small subunit ribosomal RNA", at positions 30 to 507 of the family's 1533-position model. The record is from RNAcentral.
AUUGAACGCUGGCGGCAGGCCUAACACAUGCAAGUCGAGCGGAUGAAGGGAGCUUGCUCCUGGAUUCAGCGGCGGACGGGUGAGUAAUGCCUAGGAAUCUGCCUGGUAGUGGGGGAUAACGUCCGGAAACGGGCGCUAAUACCGCAUACGUCCUGAGGGAGAAAGUGGGGGAUCUUCGGACCUCACGCUAUCAGAUGGGCCUAGGUCGGAUUAGCUAGUUGGUGGGGUAAAGGCCUACCAAGGCGACGAUCCGUAACUGGUCUGAGAGGAUGAUCAGUCACACUGGAACUGAGACACGGUCCAGACUCCUACGGGAGGCAGCAGUGGGGAAUAUUGGACAAUGGGCGAAAGCCUGAUCCAGCCGUGCCGCGUGUGUGAAGAAGGUCUUCGGAUUGUAAAGCACUUUAAGUUGGGAGGAAGGGCAGUAAGUUAAUACCUUGCUGUUUUGACGUUACCAACAGAAUAAGCACCGGCUAACUUCGUG